Molecule: ribosomal RNA, 324 nt
Filed under: uncultured eukaryote
Lineage: Eukaryota
Description: partial 18S ribosomal RNA
Rfam family: Eukaryotic small subunit ribosomal RNA
Source: RNAcentral
CCCUUAGAUGUCCUGGGCUGCACGCGCGCUACACUGAUGUGUCCAGUAAGCACCUAACCUCUUCCGAAAGGAACGGGUAACCUUUGCAAAGCACAUCGUGAUGGGGAUAGAUUAUUGCAAUUAUUAGUCUUGAACGAGGAAUUCCUAGUAAGCACAAGUCAUCAGCUUGUGUUGAUUACGUCCCUGCCCUUUGUACACACCGCCCGUCGCUCCUACCGAUUGAAUGUUCCGGUGAGCUCUUCGGACUGCGCGGUCUGCAGUCUCUGCGUUCCGUGCGGAAAGUUGCGCAAACCUUAACAUUUAGAGGAAGGAGAAGUCGUAACA